This 402-nucleotide ribosomal RNA is filed under the name Verrucomicrobiota bacterium. Its description in RNAcentral is "Verrucomicrobia bacterium partial 16S ribosomal RNA". It matches the Rfam family "Bacterial small subunit ribosomal RNA", at positions 355 to 776 of the family's 1533-position model. Lineage: Bacteria; Pseudomonadati; Verrucomicrobiota. The record is from RNAcentral.
UGGGGAAUAUUGCACAAUGGGGGAAACCCUGAUGCAGCGACGCCGCGUGAGCGAAGAAGGUUUUCGAAUCGUAAAGCUCUGUCCUAUGAGAAGAUAAUGACGGUAUCAUAGGAGGAAGCCCGGCUAAAUACGUGCCAGCAGCCGCGGUAAUACGUAUGGGGCGAGCGUUGUCCGGAAUUAUUGGGCGUAAAGGGUACGUAGGCGGUCUAUUAAGUCAGGUGUGAAAGCGUGAGGCUUAACCUCAUUAAGCACUUGAAACUGAUAGACUUGAGUGAAGGAGAGGAAAGUGGAAUUCCUAGUGUAGCGGUGAAAUGCGUAGAUAUUAGGAGGAAUACCGGUGGCGAAGGCGACUUUCUGGACUUUUACUGACGCUCAGGUACGAAAGCGUGGGGAGCAAACAGG